Molecule: ribosomal RNA, 464 nt
Filed under: uncultured bacterium
Lineage: Bacteria
Description: partial 16S ribosomal RNA
Rfam family: Bacterial small subunit ribosomal RNA
Source: RNAcentral
GACGAACGCUGGCGGCGUGCCUAACACAUGCAAGUCGAGCGAAUGAAGUUCCUUCGGGAAUGGAUUUAGCGGCGGACGGGUGAGUAACACGUGGGCAACCUGCCUCAUAGAGGGGAAUAGCCUCCCGAAAGGGAGAUUAAUACCGCAUAAGAUUGUAGUACCGCAUGAUACAGCAAUUAAAGGAGCAAUCCGCUAUGAGAUGGGCCCGCGGCGCAUUAGCUAGUUGGUGAGGUAAUGGCUCACCAAGGCGACGAUGCGUAGCCGACCUGAGAGGGUGAUCGGCCACAUUGGGACUGAGACACGGCCCAGACUCCUACGGGGGGCAGCAGUGGGGAAUAUUGCACAAUGGGGGAAACCCUGAUGCAGCAACGCCGCGUGAGUGAUGACGGCCUUCGGGUUGUAAAGCUCUGUCUUCAGGGACGAUAAUGACGGUACCUGAGGAGGAAGCCACGGCUAACUACGUG